AUAUAUAUAUAUAUAUAUAAACUUCUUUAACUGAGACGGUAGUUUCAAUACCAUAUAAUCAAGUACCAAUCAUGGUGAUAGUCAUAAAACUACCAUAACAAGGCUAAUAAUGAUCUUAAUAGCAAUGGUAAAAGCAGUAACUAACAAAACUUAUCUCUAAUGCCAAAGCAAAAGGAAUCAUCCAAUUCUUUCAUUGAUCAUUAUAGCAGCUUCCCUUUUAACAUGGUAAGGAAGUGAUACUUAUCAAAAGAAAAAUAAGAAGAUGAAGACGGCAGUAAGGUAGCUGAAAUGAAUUAAAUGCAUGCCAUACAUAAAUAGUAUCUGAAGCAAUUGCUUCCAAUUUGGAGGCAGAAGCCGCAUAGAAUACGGUAGUACACUGAUCACCUUAGCAUACCAUUGAGAAUACAGUUGAUGUGAUGCUAAAACAGGAGUAUCAAGCAAAAGUCAAUUAAAUCUUUCACAAUCCCAAUUCAAUUAAAGCAACCAAAGGAGAGGCCUUAGGCUAAAGCUAGCUAAGGUUUAGGCCGUGGAGCCAAGAGGCUCAGGUCCAAAUACUAUUUGCAUGAUUUGAUUAUUUAUUUGCGGACGUUUACUUUGCUACGCAAGUUUACUUUGGCUUAGAUAAACUGCAGACAUAUCUAUUAUGAUUAUUGUUAUAUAACAGUCUAUCUACUUGGGGGGACAUAGACACACACUUACAUCCCAAAGAUAGCUAAGCUGACCAGCUAAAAGUCGAGCAAAGCCUCCAUCAUGUCUCACAGAUGGAGGCUUAGUAGCUCACUUAGUAGCUCACUUGAAUGUGUAAUUAAAGUGAAAAAUAAAAAAGACUCAAUUCAAAGACCAUAGGCAGCAACACAAAGCUACCAUUUAACUGUCAAAAUUAAGAAUAUCAUCAUUGAAAAUCCUCCAUAGAUGAAGAUUCAAAUCCUAUAACAAAAAUUUAGAACAAAUGUAACAAACUGAAGUACCC
Molecule: long non-coding RNA, 970 nt
Filed under: Manihot esculenta (cassava)
Lineage: Eukaryota; Viridiplantae; Streptophyta; Magnoliopsida; Malpighiales; Euphorbiaceae
Description: long non-coding RNA (MESC_LNC005282)
Source: RNAcentral